This 531-nucleotide long non-coding RNA is filed under the name Gallus gallus (chicken). The record is from RNAcentral. Lineage: Eukaryota; Metazoa; Chordata; Aves; Galliformes; Phasianidae.
GAAACUUCAUUUUAAUAACACUCUUGAUCCUUCUUAGAUCAUUUAUAUAAUUCAUAUCCACUCAUCCCUUAAAGUAAGAGCCCUCCCGAGGACAUACUGAGGACUGGCUUAAAUAUCAAGGUUGUGAGAUUUCCUUCAGAAGAGCAAAAUGAAACUAUUCAUGUCUGAAGGGCAUAACAGAUGUGUCUUCUCUACAGGGAUUAUUAUCAACAGUACCUUCUUCAAAUUCAGCAAUCCAAAAGUCAAUCUGCAAGUAACAUGUGGUAUCUGCUGCACUAAAGGGUUAUGGUACUCUAUAGAGACAUUACUCCCGUACCAAUCUGCUAAACUGCUGCAGAUCAUAUUUCUGUACUCAAAAAGUGGAGAUUUCAAGGUGACCCUAAAGAUCCAUGGAGCUUUUUCACCUGGUCAGCCUGUGGUUUUUCACCUCAUGAGGUCUGUUUCUGCCUUAACAUAUGUGAAAGUGCAUACGAAGCAAAGGUGUGUAAUUCAUUUCCUCUGUGUGAAAAAAAUUUCACCCAUUGACAUUCA